Poecilia reticulata (guppy) is the source of this 1986-nucleotide non-coding RNA. The record is from RefSeq and is a predicted model, not a curated record. NCBI's taxonomy places the organism in Eukaryota, Metazoa, Chordata, Actinopteri, Cyprinodontiformes, Poeciliidae.
UGAAACAUCAGAGCGGCUGGACGUGAAACCAACUGAAGCUGAUCCACGCUUCGUUUUUAUCGAGUCCGUCCUGCAGGACACGAGGACGGACAGCGGUCAGACAUUCUCCUCUGUGACGAUAACUGUUGGUUUUUACAGUGCAGGACUUUUGGUUUCAUCUCUAAAUUGAAUCAAAAUGCUUAUUUUUUAGUGUAAACUGAUCUGCAGGCUCCUUCACCUUAAGCCCCGCCCCCAGAGGAGUUGCCAUGGCAACAGAUGGUUGUAUUGGGAUCGGUUCUGGUCGUGAUCAGAUCGUCUCUGAGCUUCUUCCUGCUUCAGACGUGAAAUUAAAAGUUUCUCUAAAACAGUUUAAGUUUCUUUAUUCCGUCGGUUUCGUCUCUUUUCUGACUCGUUUUUAUCUCGUUUAUUUUUUAUUUUCUCAGUUUUAAGUUUUGUUAAUGUUGGCAGCUCUGAGUCCAAAAGCCUGAAGCCAUGAAGGGAACCGGGUCGGUCCGGUUCACCAGAGGAUCAGUUUAAACCUGAGACCUGAGCAGAAACGGUCAGCAGACCUUCAUCUUCAUCAGUCCCACCAGGACAGACUGGGUCUCUGCGAUGCGUUCAGGGAUACCUGGACACCAGAGCUGCUCUGCGAUGCGUUCAGGGACACCUGGACACCAGAGCUGCUCUGCGAUGCGUUCAGGGACANCUGGACACCAGAGCUGCUCUGCGAUGCGUUCAGGGACACCUGGACACCAGAGCUGCUCUGUGAUGCAUUCACACUGUUGCUAAUGUGCUAGCAGUGGAGCUAAUGUUUAUUUAGCGCUUAGCUAGCUGAAAACAUUUAGCUUCACCUCAGUUAAUUUUCUGAAUAAAUUCUUAAGUUCUAAUUUUUCAGGCUGUUUUAUAAAUUUCAGUUGAAUUGAAGUUUUGUUUGUCUACUGAUCCAAGUUAGUUCGCUGUUUCUGUUCAUGCUCUUAUUUUGAAGUCUGUUUCCUGUGCUCGCUUCUCUUGUUUUGUUUUAAAGAAACUAUUGAUAAAGUUUCUAAUCCAGAUGAAUGCGACACUUCCAGGAGCGACCACCAGGCGGUGCUGGUAGCUGCUUCUCCUGACGCCGCCCAGGUGUUGGUGGAGCAGGUAAAGCAGGUGGUGGAGCAGGUGAAGCAGGAGAGAAAACAUGGAGGCGAGGCUGACCGACUCCUGGCUGGAGGUUCCCGUGUCCAGAACUGAGGAAGACGAGGACAUGUCGGGUCAUCACGCCUCCAUUUCCUGACCUACCAUCACAAACGUAACACCGGCUGGUUCUGUGACUCAGCUGAGUUUUGAUCAGAUGAUAUUUCAGCUGCAGAACCUGAGAAACAUGAUAAAUAUGCAGAAAACGGCUCAGUGAUGCUGCCAGGCUCGGUGGAGGACCUGUGGUGCUGAGGGAUGAUCAACAUGCUGUCCAAGCAUUUGAUCUAAAUCAUGAUGUUUAAUGAUGUCAGAGUAAAAUAAGAAUCAUAAAAUCUGUGUGGUUUGGUCUCCAACAUGCGGUCCGAGGGCCAUUUAUGGCCUCCAGUAGGAUUUACUGGGUCACAAUCAGGAACAGUUCAACUCUGACUGUCCAGAACCGGAACCAGAACCAGAACCAGAACCAGUCUGCCGGAUCGCCCUGCCAAUGAUUUACAGCCUGCAGCAGAGACAACGAGCCGGGCCUCACCAGAACCGGGUCCCAGGGAGCCCGGACCGAGCGUCCUGAUUGGCUGGCCGGCGCUGACGCUCACCUGGAGGACACGCCCACCGCCUCACCUCUGUGCAGCCUGUCCUCCGACAGACUGCAGGACAAAAGUCCAACCGGGCCGGUUCUGUGUGAAAGUUCCUCCAGGAGCAAAUAUCAGCUCAUAAAUGACCUCUGACCUGAUAGAGACGGUUACCAUGGAGACCACGGAGACAUUACUGGACAGCAGAAGAAGAGCUGCUGGACCUCCGGUUGGUGCUAAAUAAACCUGCAAUCCUAUUGGCUGACGGGAC